This 482-nucleotide ribosomal RNA is filed under the name uncultured bacterium. RNAcentral's name for it is "partial 16S ribosomal RNA". It matches the Rfam family "Bacterial small subunit ribosomal RNA", at positions 30 to 507 of the family's 1533-position model. The record is from RNAcentral.
AUUGAACGCUGGCGGCAUGCCUUACACAUGCAAGUCGAACGGUAACAGGUCUUCGGAUGCUGACGAGUGGCGAACGGGUGAGUAAUACAUCGGAACGUGCCCGAUCGUGGGGGAUAACGGAGCGAAAGCUUUGCUAAUACCGCAUACGAUCUACGGAUGAAAGCAGGGGACCGCAAGGCCUUGCGCGGACGGAGCGGCCGAUGGCAGAUUAGGUAGUUGGUGGGAUAAAAGCUUACCAAGCCGACGAUCUGUAGCUGGUCUGAGAGGACGACCAGCCACACUGGGACUGAGACACGGCCCUGACUCCUACGGGAGGCAGCAGUGGGGAAUUUUGGACAAUGGGCGAAAGCCUGAUCCAGCCAUGCCGCGUGCAGGAUGAAGGCCUUCGGGUUGUAAACUGCUUUUGUACGGAACGAAAAGACUCUUUCUAAUAAAGAGGGUCCAUGACGGUACCGUAAGAAUAAGCACCGGCUAACUACGUG